CCUGGCGGCAAUAGCGCUGUGGAACCACCCGAUCCCAUCCCGAACUCGGCAGUGAAACGCAGCAGCGCCGAUGGUAGUGCGGCAUUCGCCGUGUGAGAGUAGGUCACCGCCAGGC
This 115-nucleotide ribosomal RNA is filed under the name Wenzhouxiangellaceae bacterium. The record is from RNAcentral. Lineage: Bacteria; Pseudomonadati; Pseudomonadota; Gammaproteobacteria; Chromatiales; Wenzhouxiangellaceae.